Molecule: microRNA, 22 nt
Filed under: Monodelphis domestica (gray short-tailed opossum)
Lineage: Eukaryota; Metazoa; Chordata; Mammalia; Didelphimorphia; Didelphidae
Description: mdo-miR-12344-3p
Source: miRBase by way of RNAcentral
UGCGUGCGUGUCUCCCGUCCAG